This 2686-nucleotide long non-coding RNA is filed under the name Solanum lycopersicum (tomato). RNAcentral describes it as "long non-coding RNA (SLYC_LNC000648)". Lineage: Eukaryota; Viridiplantae; Streptophyta; Magnoliopsida; Solanales; Solanaceae. The record is from RNAcentral.
UGAGUCAAGGAGUGUACCUGAAUCAUGGGAAACGUAUCCAGAACAAGAUUAAUGGCAUCACAUGUAUUAAGUAUGAAUUGACAUUUGAGGCUGACCGAGAUUUUGGAUUUCCAGGAGCUUUUGUCAUCUGGAACCAACACAAAGACAAGUUUUUUCUUCAAUCACUGUCUCUCCAAGUUGAAUUCAAACAAAUAGUUCAUUUUGAAUGCAAUUCUUGGAUAUAUUCCAAUCAUUUAAUGCAAAAGGAAAGGAUUUUCUUCUCAAAUACUGUGAGUAAACCAUUUCUCGUAACAUGUAGUAUCUUUCAGCAACAGAUAUGUAGCUAGUGUCUUUGAUCAUCUUAUGAGUUUUAGUGUUAUCUUCCAAGCCAAACACCAAAUGGUCUGCUGCAACUGAGGAAACAAGAACUUGAUACAUUGAGAGGAGAUGGAAUUGAAGGGAGAAUUAGAGAAUGGCAUCGGGCUUAUGGCUAUGAUUUCUAUAAUGAUCUCGGUGAUCCUCAGAGAGGGGAAGGACCUAUUUUAGGAGGUUCAAUUCACUAUCCAUAUCCAAGGAGAGGAAAAACUGGUGAACCACAUAUUGACUCAGGCAAGAAAUUUUCUCCCUUCUAAUAUAACUUUUUUCUGGUCACAGAAAUCAUACGAACCUUAUUACUCUUCAAACAGAAAAUGUGAAGGAGAUGAUGUUCAAUAUGUCUACCUGCAUCCCUCCGGAUGAAAGAUUUAGCCCCCAGAAACAAUCAGAGUUUGCGAAGAAAGUGAUCCAGGCAACUUUGCACUUUGUUGGUUCUCAAACCAACCAACUCAAGUCAUUCAACAAGAUCAAAGAGCUAUUUUCGGGGAAGAAAAGCCAAGGGGUGGAAGAAUGGAUGGUAAAGAAAUUGGAAGAUCAUCUACCAAAAGAGAUUUUGAAGGAGAUUGGACAAGGAAUAAAAGAUUAUACUGCAAAGUUCCCAAUGCCUCAGUUAUUUGCAGGUGAUGCUGGUUUUAUGAAUAUAAAGGUUCUUGAAUCUUCCUUCUCCAAGACAAGUUUUGUUUCAUGUCUUGGAUAAUUUCAUGCACAGGGAACGAAUUGGCAUGGAAGGAUGAUAAGGAGUUUGGGCGCCAGAUGCUUGCAGGAAUCAAUGCAGCUGUUAUUCAGUGUUUGCAGGUAUAUAUGAUGAGUUUUAACCUCUCAAGAGAAGUGCUUUCUCAUGACGAUAGUGAAUGAAUUUUAUGAGAAGGGAGAACACAUAAAGAUCGAUCUCUCUAAGCUAGUCUCAUAUUCAAAAGAACAUCUAAGCUUUGCAACGGUACCUCCUAUAUAUGCACCAACUACCCACCCCCAAAACAAAAAACCAAUCCCCGGACUUGUUCGAAAUAAACAUAUUACCACACUAAAACGAGAACCAGAUUUUUGGUAUACUAAAGCAAACAAGAACAACUCCGCCUCAGUCCCAAACAAGUAAACUCAGCUCUCCAUUUCAUAUAAUCAUCCAACCAAUUAAAAUAAAAGUGAAAAAAGGACCCCUUUUUUCAUAUCCCCCUGAAUCCAUCUUCUUCUUUCAAGACACCUCCCUAAGCAGUUACUAAUACUUGUUUAUAUCAGAAGUCCUCCCCCAAACCAAUUCCUUCUUUAUCCUUUUUUCUUUAUUCACUAAGAGUGGCACACUCCACUCCCCCAUUUCUUCUUACCCCAAAACCUGAUUAUUAUUUUUUUCCCAUUUCUUAGAUGGCAUGAAUCUCAAAUAAAUGUCAUAUAAGAUUGUGGUUGAUGAUCCUGUGGGACAGAAAAGCAUGUCAUCGGUAAAUUUAUUUCAUUUGCUUUCUUCUCUAGUGUCUUGAUUUAAUAUUGACAAGUUACAAAAAUAAAAAAAGUUAGCAAAGGACAAAAGAAGAGAUGAAAAGAUAAAGAGUUUGUGGAGUUUCAAAGAGAUGAUACUUUGAUUGCAUAUCCUUAAUAUAUUUACUUCCCAUCAGCAAUCUGAGAUUUCAAAUAAGGUGGUCAAACCAGUUUUGUACGAGCACAUGUUUGAUAGAUUUCAUUGAAAAUAUGAAUUUUACUAAGCAACUGGGGGGGGGGGAGUAAUCUUAUAAGGAGAACCAGAAGGAGUUGGAGGAGUGGAUUUUGUUGGUGCUACACUGGUGGUAGGGUAGGUGGAGGCGGUCGGUGGGAGAAGAGAAAAAGGGAGCGAGUAGUUAAAGAGUAUAAGAAAUUGUAAAUCAAAAAAGGGCCUUGGAUUAUUGAAAUUGGUAUACAAAUAAACCUCCGUUGCCUAUUGGCUUUAUAAUACCUUUGAGUCAAUAUUACUGCUCUAUAAUAACCUUAUCACAAACAGCUCUGUUAACAUAUAAAGUUAGAGUUUUCAUUUAAUAUGUGGCAGCAUGUGAUUCGUUAAAAUUUUCAUUAAUCUAAACAAAUUAAAUUAAAUCUAAAUAUGGAUCCAACCAUUAAUUUCUACCCAAUCCAACUAGAAAACUCAUAUAAAGAGUAAAUUUAUAAACUAGGUCCAUUUUCUCUUUUCUUCUGCGAUGGGAAUUUUUCUCAUUCUUCAAGAACAUAGCUAAGAUUUUUUGAAUUUCUAAUUCUAUGUUUAAAAAGACGUUUCAUCAAAAGACUUACUCCUUGCUCUUGGUGGCUUGUUAGAUUUUUGAGAAUCAAUUUGAGGGUGCUUCCCUUUGCAGACCAAACAUUUUUCAAACCUGCA